Long non-coding RNA from Mauremys mutica (yellowpond turtle), 285 nucleotides. RefSeq lists it as uncharacterized. Lineage: Eukaryota; Metazoa; Chordata; Testudines; Geoemydidae. The record is from RefSeq and is a predicted model, not a curated record. The transcript has 3 exons.
CAAGAAUACUGCUCCAUGCUGUACCCUGUCCUGCACUGCAGGGAGAUUUUCAGUGGUAUCCCUCAUUAAGGGUUGACUGCUUUGACGUGAGGUGCAGCCGCAUUGCUCUGUCAGUGACAUCAGUGGGCUGGAGAGAAUGUUCCCUAGGGAGGUGAAAGGAUAUGAGCAACAUCCGAGGAGACAUAAUAGUGCUAAACAUCAAGGGAGUCUGCUGUUAAAUACCAUCAGCACCGUUAACAAAAUUACCAAUGAAGAAGAAGAAAUGAAUCCAUGAUGAAUGAUAAU